This 76-nucleotide transfer RNA is filed under the name Armatimonadetes bacterium GXS. RNAcentral's name for it is "tRNA_Trp_CCA". It matches the Rfam family "tRNA". From Rfam's summary of the family: Transfer RNA (tRNA) molecules are approximately 80 nucleotides in length. Their secondary structure includes four short double-helical elements and three loops (D, anti-codon, and T loops). RNAcentral also lists the same sequence under 10 other names. The record is from RNAcentral. Lineage: Bacteria; Bacillati; Armatimonadota.
AGGGGCGUAGCUCAGCUGGCAGAGCGUCGGUCUCCAAAACCGAAGGUCGUCGGUUCGAAUCCGGCCGCCCCUGCCA